GAAGGGAAGGCGUGCGGUUUGUAGAGAGGGCGGAGGGAGGGAGGAGAAGACGAAAAUCAACUGCAACAAGUUCAUGGAUAGGGUCGCAGCAAUGAAGACCCCUCGGCAGUAGAUUCAAGUCAAUCUUGGUUUUUUGGCCGAUUUGGAGUAGGUUUACACUAAAAUUGAGAAAACACAUAUGAACGCAAAGGCUCGAGGAUGUAUGACAACUUGGAAAAGGUAACUCUCGAAGAUGUCAGGUUUGAGAAGGGAAAAGGUACUGUGAAUUGGGACCCGACAAUCCACCAUACGCUGCCAAGUUCUACAACUGUUGUGGGGCUGCACGACCAGUUUCCAUGUUUCGUAUGAUGACGAUUGAUCCAUACGCUCUAAAUGCUUGAGGAAAAAUGAGAGUACUACAGAAGGCUGCUGCAAAAGGCUGCCUUGAUCAUUAGUUGGUGAUGUUUGGGAGAUUGAGAGUAGGAUAGGAUAAUUUGUUCAUUUGCGCUGGCACUGAUUUCUAUCCAUUUUGAGAGGAAAGCAGAUUUGGGUUCCAACUAAUCCUCGAGGGACUGAAAGCCUGGCGCUUGGUAUCAUUGCAUCUGAGUCGGAUUUCUAUCUUCGCCGACUAUGGGGUCUGCCCAGUGAGGUGGAACUUGUAGGACUUACUUGUCAAGCCAAAGUAUCUUGUAACCUUUACCGUAGGUUGUGCUCAGAAAAAUAACGUUGAUGCAGCAGUUAAAUGGGUCAGUUCUCUCAACAAUAGCGAAGUUCACAUGUAAGAUUGGCAUGACAUGUUUAAACUCUUUGGAAACAGAGUGUUCAAACACUUUUCAAAGUUUGAGUCCCAACAUUUGUUCAAAAUUGUAUAAAAGAUCAGUUAUGCAAA
Pyrus x bretschneideri (Chinese white pear) is the source of this 868-nucleotide long non-coding RNA. RefSeq lists it as uncharacterized. NCBI's taxonomy places the organism in Eukaryota, Viridiplantae, Streptophyta, Magnoliopsida, Rosales, Rosaceae. The transcript has 5 exons. The record is from RefSeq and is a predicted model, not a curated record.